GAUGAAGAACGCAGCGAAAUGCGAUAAGUAAUGUGAAUUGCAGAAUUCAGUGAAUCAUCGAAUCUUUGAACGCACCUUGCGCCUUUUGGUAUUCCGAAAGGCACACCUGUUUGAGCGUCAUGAAUUCCUCAAUCUCCAUCUUUUCUUCGGAUUGAUGGGUGACUUGGAUGUUGAGCCCUGCUGGUAUGCUAUAUCAGCUGGCUUUAAACUUAUUAGCCGGCUCUGUACUGGAUCGGUUUGACUCGACGUGAUAAUAUUAUCGUUGAGGAUGCAUGUCUCAUGCAGCCGGAAAGUAUCAAAGCAGCUUCUAGCUUGCCUUUAGUGCACUUUUACAUUUUAGACCUCAGAUCAGGUGGGACUACCCGCUGAACUUAAGCAUAUCAAUAAGCGGAGGA
RNAcentral lists this unclassified non-coding RNA (395 nucleotides) under soil metagenome. RNAcentral's name for it is "partial contains 5.8S ribosomal RNA, internal transcribed spacer 2, and large subunit ribosomal RNA". The stretch from base 1 to 120 matches the Rfam family "5.8S ribosomal RNA", at positions 35 to 154 of the family's 154-position model. The record is from RNAcentral.